This 71-nucleotide microRNA precursor is filed under the name Gyrodactylus salaris (gyrodactylosis fluke). RNAcentral's name for it is "microRNA gsa-mir-219 precursor". Its record names the gene gsa-mir-219. The record is from miRBase by way of RNAcentral. Lineage: Eukaryota; Metazoa; Platyhelminthes; Monogenea; Gyrodactylidea; Gyrodactylidae.
UGAUUGUCCACUCGCAUUUCUUGUCGCCUGUUGACUUCUCUCAAUUACAAGAUGUGUGAAUGGACAUCUUA